Molecule: ribosomal RNA, 562 nt
Filed under: [Candida] sp. UWOPS 91-786.2
Lineage: Eukaryota; Fungi; Ascomycota; Saccharomycetes; Saccharomycetales
Description: LSU rRNA
Rfam family: Eukaryotic large subunit ribosomal RNA
Source: RNAcentral
AACAGGGAUUGCCUCAGUAACGGCGAGUGAAGCGGCAAAAGCUCAAAUUUGAAAUCUGACACUUUCAGUGUCCGAGUUGUAAUUUGAAGAAAGUUUCUCUGAGUAGUCCUUUAUCUAUGUUCCUUGGAACAGGACGUCAUAGAGGGUGAGAAUCCCGUAUGAUUUUGGAUACUAUUCUUUGUGAGAUUCUUUCGAAGAGUCGAGUUGUUUGGGAAUGCAGCUCUAAGUGGGUGGUAAAUUCCAUCUAAAGCUAAAUAUUGGCGAGAGACCGAUAGCGAACAAGUACAGUGAUGGAAAGAUGAAAAGAACUCUGAAGAGAGAGUGAAAAAGUACGUGAAAUUGCUGAAAGGGAAGGGCUUUAGGUUAGACUUGGUGUUUAAUGAUUAUCAUCCCUUCUGGGGUGUGCACUCGUUUUUCACUGGGCCAAUAUCAGUUUUGGAGACAAAGUACCUAUUGGAAUGUAGCUUCCCUCGGGAAGUGUUAUAGCCUUUAGACGAUUUGUUUUCUGGGACUGAGGACUGCGCUUUACAGCUAGGAUAUUGGCGUAAUAACCUUAAGCCGC